GGGGGGGGGGGACUCGUCUCUCUUCUCCUUGGCGUCUGCUCCGGGGGGUGUUUACCUGCCCCUUUCCAAGAAAAGAAUCCGGCGGCGCACCGCCGGCCCGUCGCAAACGCAACGCCGUUGCGGCGGAGCAAGAGCGUACACGUUGGGACCCGAAAGAUGGUGAUCUAUGCCCGGGCAGGACGAAGCCAGAGGAAACUCUGGUGGAGGUCCGUAGCGAUUCUGACGUGCAAAUCGAUCGUCGGACCUGGGUAUAGGGGCGAAAGACUAAUCGAACCGUCUA
RNAcentral lists this ribosomal RNA (280 nucleotides) under Paralamyctes chilensis. RNAcentral describes it as "partial 28S ribosomal RNA". It matches the Rfam family "Eukaryotic large subunit ribosomal RNA", at positions 688 to 946 of the family's 3401-position model. Lineage: Eukaryota; Metazoa; Arthropoda; Chilopoda; Lithobiomorpha; Henicopidae. The record is from RNAcentral.